Molecule: ribosomal RNA, 303 nt
Filed under: uncultured bacterium
Lineage: Bacteria
Description: partial 16S ribosomal RNA
Rfam family: Bacterial small subunit ribosomal RNA
Source: RNAcentral
AGCAGUAGCCGCGGUAAUACGGAGGGUGCAAGCGUUAAUCGGAAUUACUGGGCGUAAAGCGCACGCAGGCGGUCUGUUAAGUCAGAUGUGAAAUCCCCGGGCUCAACCCGGGAACUGCAUUUGAAACUGGCAGGCUUGAGUCUUGUAGAGGGGGGUAGAAUUCCAGGUGUAGCGGUGAAAUGCGUAGAGAUCUGGAGGAAUACCGGUGGCGAAGGCGGCCCCCUGGACAAAGACUGACGCUCAGGUGCGAAAGCGUGGGGAGCAAACAGGAUUAGAUACCCGAGUAGUCCCUGUCUCUUAUAC